UACGUAGGGUGCGAGCGUUGUCCGGAAUUAUUGGGCGUAAAGGGCUCGUAGGCGGUUCGUCGCGUCGGGAGUGAAAUUCCACGGCUUAACCGUGGGCGUGCUUUCGAUACGGGCGGACUGGAGGUAGGCAGGGGAGAACGGAAUUCCUGGUGUAGCGGUGGAAUGCGCAGAUAUCAGGAGGAACACCGGUGGCGAAGGCGGUUCUCUGGGCCUUACCUGACGCUGAGGAGCGAAAGCGUGGGGAGCGAACAGGAUUAGAUACCCUGGUAGUCCACGCCGUAAACGUUGGGCGCUAGGUGUGGGAGGCAUUCAUACGUCUUCCGUGCCGCAGCUAACGCAUUAAGCGCCCCGCCUGGGGAGUACGGCCGCAAGGCUAAA
This 378-nucleotide ribosomal RNA is filed under the name uncultured bacterium. Its description in RNAcentral is "bacterial SSU rRNA". It matches the Rfam family "Bacterial small subunit ribosomal RNA", at positions 524 to 898 of the family's 1533-position model. The record is from RNAcentral.